This 236-nucleotide long non-coding RNA is filed under the name Homo sapiens (human). RNAcentral describes it as "non-protein coding lnc-CRB2-3:1". The record is from RNAcentral. Lineage: Eukaryota; Metazoa; Chordata; Mammalia; Primates; Hominidae.
GGUGUCUCUGAAUUAGAAGAUGAGUUUUAGGAUUCUCUUACCCCUGCCUCGCAUUCUGUGGACUGCCUGGUAUGUCAUGGUUGCUCAGCAAGAUUUUUAGAAACGAAUGAAUGUUGCUGCUCGGAAUCUGAGAAGUGCAUAAUGACGCUGCGAGUAUCAUCGUGAUUAGAGCUGGGCCUGCCACACAGCUCACAUUCAGUCAACACGUGCUGAAUAAACAAGUGGGUAUCCCUGCA